Molecule: long non-coding RNA, 478 nt
Filed under: Panax ginseng (ginseng)
Lineage: Eukaryota; Viridiplantae; Streptophyta; Magnoliopsida; Apiales; Araliaceae
Description: long non-coding RNA (PGIN_LNC017569)
Source: RNAcentral
UCACGUCACACAAAGGCGCCACAUCAGCUUUGUAACGGACAACUCAGCAAUUGAUGUGUAUUGUUCCGUUUAAAGUCAAAGCUUUUAACGGAUUUUUUAACUUUUUGUUAGAAAAGUCGAGUACAAUGAGUUGACUGUAAAAAAAAAAUUCAGUUAUCUAUUUGUAAGUUGACAUAUAAUACAGUGACUGAAAAAUAUUUAAUCCAAUCCAGAUCAUACAGAUAACCCAGAUUGAAAAGAAGAUUUUGAUUGCAUGCAUGAUCCAUGAGGCAUGAUGGUUGGUCAUGCAAUAAUUUCACUUUGAAAACCACAUCUAUAAUUGUAGGAUGGGAGUAGGAAAAGAUGCUACGGAUAAACAUUAGUUGUUGGUUGUCAAAUAAAGCUAUUGGAGAAGUUCUCAACACAACUCUCUGUGGCAACCUUUUUCUGCCAUAAUAAAUACUUUUACCCUAAUCUCACGUCCCGCGAAAGAUUUUUG